UGUAACGAGAUCUUCGGAUCUAGUGGCGGACGGGUUAGUAACGCGUGGGAACGUACCCUUCACUACGGAAUAGUCCUGGGAAACUGGGUUUAAUACCGUGUACGCCCUUCGGGGGAAAGAAUUUCGGUGAGGGAUCGGCCCGCGUUAGAUUAGUUAGUUGGUGGGGUAACGGCCUACCAAGACUACGAUCUAUAGCUGGUUUGAGAGGAUGAUCAGCAACACUGGGACUGAGACACGGCCCAGACUCCUACGGGAGGCAGCAGUGGGGAAUCUUAGACAAUGGGGGCAACCCUGAUCCAGCCAUGCCGCGUGAGUGAUGAAGGCCUUAGGGUCGUAAAGCUCUUUCGCCUGUGAUGAUAAUGACAGUAGCAGGUAAAGAAACCCCGGCUAACUCCGUGCCAGCAGCCGCGGUAAUACGGAGGGGGUUAGCGUUGUUUGGAAUUACUGGGCGUAAAGCGCGCGUAGGCGGAUUAGUCAGUUAGAGGUGAAAUCCCAGGGCUCAACCCUGGAACUGCCUUUAAUACUGCUAGUCUUGAGUUCGAGAGAGGUGAGUGGAAUUCCGAGUGUAGAGGUGAAAUUCGUAGAUAUUCGGAGGAACACCAGUGGCGAAGGCGGCUCACUGGCUC
RNAcentral lists this ribosomal RNA (626 nucleotides) under uncultured bacterium. RNAcentral's name for it is "bacterial SSU rRNA". It matches the Rfam family "Bacterial small subunit ribosomal RNA", at positions 62 to 735 of the family's 1533-position model. The record is from RNAcentral.